Molecule: ribosomal RNA, 1475 nt
Filed under: uncultured Bordetella sp.
Lineage: Bacteria; Pseudomonadati; Pseudomonadota; Betaproteobacteria; Burkholderiales; Alcaligenaceae
Description: partial 16S-23S ribosomal RNA intergenic spacer
Rfam family: Bacterial small subunit ribosomal RNA
Source: RNAcentral
AGUUUGAUCAUACUGGGAUUGAACGCUGGCGGGAUGCUUUACACAUGCAAGUCGAACGGCAGCACGGACUUCGGUCUGGGUGGCGAGUGGCGAACGGGCGGAGUAAUGUAUCGGAACGUGCCUAGUAGCGGGGGAUAACUACGCGAAAGCGUAGCUAAUACCGCAUACGCCCUUCGGGGAAAGCGGGGGACCUUCGGGCCUCGCACUAGGAGCGGCCGAUAUCGGAUUGGGCUAGUUGGUGGGGUAACGGCUCAUGCGACGAUCCGUGGCUGGUUUGAGAGGACGACCAGCCACACUGGGACUGAGACACGGCCCAGACUCGCCGGAGGCAGCAGGGGGAAUUUUGGACAAUGGGGGAAACCCCGAUCCAGCCAUCUCGCGUGUGCGAUGAAGGUCAGGUUGUAAAGCACUUUGGCAGGAAAGAAACGGCACGGGAUAAUACCCUCGUGCAACUGACGGUACCUGCAGAAUAAGCACCGGCUAACUACGUGCCAGCAGCCGCGGUAAUACGUAGGGUGCAAGCGUUAAUCGGGCCAUUGGGCGUAGCGUAAGUGCAGCAGGCGGUUCGGAAAGAAAGAUGUGAAAUCCCAGAGCUUAACUUUGGAACUGGCAUUUUUAACUACCGAGCUAGAGUGUCAGAGGGGAGGUGGAAUUCCGCGUGUAGCAGUGAAAUGCGUAGAUAUGCGGAGGAACACCGAUGGCGAAGGCAGCCUCCUGGGAUAACACUGACGCUCAUGCACGAAAGCGUGGGGAGCAAACAGGAUUAGAUACCCUGGUAGUCCACGCCCUAAAAUGAUGUCAACUAGCUGUUGGGGCCUUCGGGCCUUGGUAGCGCAGCUAACGCGUGAAGUUGACCGCCUGGGGAGUACGGUCGCAAGAUUAAACUCAAAGGAAUUGACGGGGACCCGCAUGUAUGGUGGAUGAUGUGGAUUAAUUCCGAUGCAACGCGAAAAACCUUACCUACCCUUGACAUGUUCCGGAAUCCUUGAAGAUUUGGGAGUGCUCGCAAGAGAACCGGAACACAGGUGCCGUAUGGCUGUCGUCAGCUCGUGUCGUGAGAUGUUGGGUUAAGUCCCGCAACGAGCGCAAACUUGUCAUUAGUUGCCAUGAAAGGGCACUCUAAUGAGACUGCCGGUGACAAACCGGAGGAAGGUGGGAUGACGUCAAGUCCUCAUGGCCCUUAUGUGGGUAGGGCUUCACACGUCAUACAAUGGUCGGGACAGAGGGUCGCCAACCCGCGAGGGGGAGCCAAUCCCAGAAACCCGAUCGUAGUCCGGAUCGCAGUCUGCAACCUGACUGAAAGAAGUCGGAAUCGCUAGUAAUCGCGGAUCAGCAUGUCGCGGUGAAUACGUUCCCGGGUCUUGUACACACCGUCACACCUCAUGGAGUGGGUUUACCAGAAGUAGUUAGCUCAACCGUAAGGAGGGCGAUUACCACGGUAGGAUUCAUGACUGGGUGAAGUCGUAACAAGGCAA